RNAcentral lists this ribosomal RNA (253 nucleotides) under uncultured bacterium. RNAcentral describes it as "partial 16S ribosomal RNA". It matches the Rfam family "Bacterial small subunit ribosomal RNA", at positions 524 to 776 of the family's 1533-position model. The record is from RNAcentral.
UACAGAGGUCUCUAGCGUUGUUCGGAUUCAUUGGGCGUAAAGGGCGCGUAGGCGGCGGGGUAAGUCUGGUGUGAAAUCUCGGAGCUCAACUCCGAAAUUGCACUGGAUACUGCUCUGCUAGAGGGCUGGAGAGGAGAUCGGAAUUCACGGUGCAGCAGUGAAAUGCGUAGAUAUCGUGAGGAAGACCAGUGGCGAAGGCGGAUCUCUGGACAGCUCCUGACGCUGAGGCACGAAGGCCAGGGGAGCAAACGGG